RNAcentral lists this transfer RNA (69 nucleotides) under Parajulis poecilepterus. RNAcentral's name for it is "tRNA-Ser". The record is from RNAcentral. Lineage: Eukaryota; Metazoa; Chordata; Actinopteri; Labriformes; Labridae.
GAGAGAGGCCUGCCUGCAACCGAGGUUGCUAACCUCUGUGCCCCAGGUUGGAAUCCUGGGCUCUUCUCG